ACGAACGCUGGCGGCGUGCUUAAAACAUGCAAGUCGAACGAGGUCCAUCCACUCCUUCGGGAGUGGUGAAGACCUAGUGGCGAACGGGUGCGUAACACGUGAGGAACCUGCCCCAGAGACCGGGAUAACCCUCCGAAAGGAGAGCUAAUACCGGAUGUGCUCAUCGAGUCGCAUGGCUUGAUGAGGAAAUGGAUUCCGCUCUGGGAUGGCCUCGCGGCCUAUCAGCUUGUUGGUGGGGUAACGGCCCACCAAGGUGACGACGGGUAGCUGGUCUGAGAGGACGAUCAGCCACACUGGGACUGAGACACGGCCCAGACUCCUACGGGAGGCAGCAGUUAGGAAUCUUGCGCAAUGGGCGAAAGCCUGACGCAGCAACGCCGCUUGGGGGAUGAAGGCUCUCGGGUUGUAAACCCCUUUCAGCAGGGACGAUUGUGACGGUACCUGCAGAAGAAGGACCGGCCAACUACGU
RNAcentral lists this ribosomal RNA (469 nucleotides) under uncultured bacterium. Its description in RNAcentral is "bacterial SSU rRNA". It matches the Rfam family "Bacterial small subunit ribosomal RNA", at positions 29 to 506 of the family's 1533-position model. The record is from RNAcentral.